GUCGUUCAAUUAUAUUCCAAUUCUGACUUAUUGGGAAGAAAAUUGCUUCGUCCAAUGCCAAUUCCAAUUCCAAUUCCAACUCCAUUCGUAUAAUAAUUAUAUUCCAAUUCCAACUACUUCAUCCAAUUCCAAUCGUGAGGGGCUUCCCAAUAUGUUCUUCGAUAACAGUUUGAAUAUUUUAUUCCCAAUCAAUUAUAUUCCAAUUCCAGUUGGUGAAGUCAGGAGUUUAAGGUGAGGUGCUUCGUCGGCCGGAGAUGAUGUUCGACGACGGUGCUAAAAAAUUAUGAAUCUGGUUUGAUGGAAU
This 304-nucleotide long non-coding RNA is filed under the name Medicago truncatula (barrel medic). Its description in RNAcentral is "long non-coding RNA (MTRU_LNC007013)". The record is from RNAcentral. Lineage: Eukaryota; Viridiplantae; Streptophyta; Magnoliopsida; Fabales; Fabaceae.